UUUAAUUCGAAGCAACGCGAAGAACCUUACCAGGUCUUGACAUCCCGAUGCUAUUCUAGAGAUAGAAAGUUACUUCGGUACAUCGGUGACAGGUGGUGCAUGGUUGUCGUCAGCUCGUGUCGUGAGAUGUUGGGUUAAGUCCCGCAACGAGCGCAACCCCUAUUGUUAGUUGCCAUCAUUCAGUUGGGCACUCUAGCGAGACUGCCGGUAAUAAACCGGAGGAAGGUGGGAUGACGUCAAAUCAUCAUGCCCCUUAUGACCUGGGCUACACACGUGCUACAAUGGUUGGUACAACGAGUUGCGAGUCGGUGACGGCGAGCUAAUCUCUUAAAGCCAAUCUCAGUUCGGAUUGUAGGCUGCAACUCGCCUACAUGAAGUCGGAAUCGCUAGUAAUCGCGGAUCAGCACGCCCGCGGUCGAAUACGUUCCCGGGCCUU
This 436-nucleotide ribosomal RNA is filed under the name uncultured Streptococcus sp. RNAcentral's name for it is "bacterial SSU rRNA". It matches the Rfam family "Bacterial small subunit ribosomal RNA", at positions 945 to 1382 of the family's 1533-position model. The record is from RNAcentral. Lineage: Bacteria; Bacillati; Bacillota; Bacilli; Lactobacillales; Streptococcaceae.